GAGUAACGCGUAAGAAUCUACCUUCAGGUUGGGGACAACCACUGGAAACGGUGGCUAAUACCGAAUGUGCCGAGAGGUGAAAGGCUUGCUGCCUGAAGAAGAGCUUGCGUCUGAUUAGCUAGUUGGUGUGGUAAAGGCGCACCAAGGCGACGAUCAGUAGCUGGUCUGAGAGGAUGAUCACCCACACUGGGACUGAGACACGGCCCAGACUCCUACGGGAGGCAGCAGUGGGGAAUUUUCCGCAAUGGGCGAAAGCCUGACGGAGCAAUACCGCGUGAGGGAGGAAGGCUCUUGGGUUGUAAACCUCUUUUCUCAGGGAAGAAAAAAAUGACGGUACCUGAGGAAUAAGCAUCGGCUAACUCCGUGCCAGCAGCCGCGGUAAUACGGAGGAUGCAAGCGUUAUCCGGAAUGAUUGGGCGUAAAGGGUCCGCAGGUGGCAUUGUAUGUCUGCUGUUAAAGAGUCUGGCUCAACCAGAUCAAAGCAGUGGAAACAUCAAAGCUAGAGUAUGGUCGGGGCAGAGGGAAUUCCUGGUGUAGCGGUG
This 542-nucleotide ribosomal RNA is filed under the name Dolichospermum flos-aquae CCAP 1403/13F. RNAcentral describes it as "bacterial SSU rRNA". It matches the Rfam family "Bacterial small subunit ribosomal RNA", at positions 108 to 683 of the family's 1533-position model. Lineage: Bacteria; Bacillati; Cyanobacteriota; Cyanophyceae; Nostocales; Aphanizomenonaceae. The record is from RNAcentral.